GACACUCACAAGUAAACAGACGUGUUUUUAUUCAGCUCGGAGUCUCGUAAUAUGUAGAAUUUAAUAUUUUGCUAAAAACAAAGUAGAAGGAAAACGAAAAUCAGAUGAAAAAGUAAUAAAUUUUGGCAAAAUCUUAUAAAGUCAAAAUCAACAGUUCGCAGUAUAUAUGAGAGCCAACGCAUUGUGCCACGGAAGCCACACAUCAAUUCAAAUAAUAUAGGAACAAAAAUAACAAAACGGAGACGAAAAACAAAACUAGUCAAACUGAUACAUCGAAGCGAGUAGAUUUAGCGAG
Teleopsis dalmanni is the source of this 295-nucleotide long non-coding RNA. RefSeq lists it as uncharacterized. The record is from RefSeq and is a predicted model, not a curated record. The transcript has 2 exons. Lineage: Eukaryota; Metazoa; Arthropoda; Insecta; Diptera; Diopsidae.